GGGUUGUGAGGUUAAGCGACUAAGCGUACACGGUGGAUGCCCUGGCAGUCAGAGGCGAUGAAGGACGUGCUAAUCUGCGAAAAGCGUCGGUAAGGUGAUAUGAACCGUUAUAACCGGCGAUGUCCGAAUGGGGAAACCCAGUGCAAUUCGUUGCACUAUCGUUAACUGAAUACAUAGGUUAACGAGGCGAACCGGGGGAACUGAAACAUCUAAGUACCCCGAGGAAAAGAAAUCAACCGAGAUUCCCCCAGUAGCGGCGAGCGAACGGGGAGCAGCCCAGAGUCUGAAUCAGCUUGUGUGUUAGUGGAACGGUCUGGAAAGUCCGACGGUACAGGGUGAUAGUCCCGUACACCAAAAUGCACAGGCUGUGAACUCGAAGAGUAGGGCGGGACACGUGGUAUCCUGUCUGAAUAUGGGGGGGACCAUCCUCCAAGGCUAAAUACUCCUGACUGACCGAUAGUGAACCAGUACCGUGAGGGAAAGGCGAAAAGAACCCCGGCGAGGGGAGUGAAAAAGAACCUGAAACCGUGUACGUACAAGCAGUGGGAGCACCUUCGGGUGUGACUGCGUACCUUUGUAUAAUGGGUCAGCGACUUAUAUUCUGUAGCAAGGUUAACCGUAUAGGGGAGCCGCAGGGAAACCGAGUCUUAACUGGGCGUUAAGUUGCAGGGUAUAGACCCGAAACCCGGUGAUCUCAGCCAUGGGCAGGUUGAAGGUUGGGUAACACUAACUGGAGGACCGAACCGACUAAUGUUGAAAAAAAUUAGCGGAUGACUUGUGGCUGGGGGUGAAAGGCCAAUCAAACCGGGAGAUAGCUGGUUCUCCCCGAAAGCUAUUUAGGUAGCGCCUCGUGAACUCAUCUUCGGGGGUAGAGCACUGUUUCGGCUAGGGGGUCAUCCCGACUUACCAACCCGAUGCAAACUACGAAUACCGAAGAAUGUUAUCACGGGAGACACACGGCGGGUGCUAACGUCCGUCGUGAAGAGGGAAACAACCCAGACCGCCAGCUAAGGUCCCAAAGUCAUGGUUAAGUGGGAAACGAUGUGGGAAGGCACAGACAGCCAGGAUGUUGGCUUAGAAGCAGCCAUCAUUUAAAGAAAGCGUAAUAGCUCACUGGUCGAGUCGGCCUGCGCGGAAGAUGUAACGGGGCUAAACCAUGCACCGAAGCUGCGGCAGCGACACUAUGUGUUGUUGGGUAGGGGAGCGUUCUGUAAGCCUGCGAAGGUGACCUGUGAGGGUUGCUGGAGGUAUCAGAAGUGCGAAUGCUGACAUAAGUAACGAUAAAGCGGGUGAAAAGCCCGCUCGCCGGAAGACCAAGGGUUCCUGUCCAACGUUAAUCGGGGCAGGGUGAGUCGACCCCUAAGGCGAGGCCGAAAGGCGUAGUCGAUGGGAAACAGGUUAAUAUUCCUGUACUUGGUGUUACUGCGAAGGGGGGACGGAGAAGGCUAUGUUAGCCGGGCGACGGUUGUCCCGGUUUAAGCAUGUAGGCUGGUUAUCCAGGCAAAUCCGGAUAAUCAAGGCUGAGGUGUGAUGACGAGGCACUACGGUGCUGAAGUAACAAAUGCCCUGCUUCCAGGAAAAGCCUCUAAGCAUCAGGUAACAUCAAAUCGUACCCCAAACCGACACAGGUGGUCAGGUAGAGAAUACCAAGGCGCUUGAGAGAACUCGGGUGAAGGAACUAGGCAAAAAUGGUGCCGUAACUUCGGGAGAAGGCACGCUGGUGUGUAGGUGAAGUCCCUGCGGAUGGAGCUGAGACCAGUCGAAGAUACCAGCUGGCUGCAACUGUUUAUUAAAAACACAGCACUGUGCAAACACGAAAGUGGACGUAUACGGUGUGACGCCUGCCCGGUGCCGGAAGGUUAAUUGAUGGGGUUAUCCGUAAGGAGAAGCUCUUGAUCGAAGCCCCGGUAAACGGCGGCCGUAACUAUAACGGUCCUAAGGUAGCGAAAUUCCUUGUCGGGUAAGUUCCGACCUGCACGAAUGGCGUAAUGAUGGCCAGGCUGUCUCCACCCGAGACUCAGUGAAAUUGAACUCGCUGUGAAGAUGCAGUGUACCCGCGGCAAGACGGAAAGACCCCGUGAACCUUUACUAUAGCUUGACACUGAACAUUGAGCCUUGAUGUGUAGGAUAGGUGGGAGGCUUUUGAAGCGUGGACGCCAGUCUGCGUGGAGCCAACCUUGAAAUACCACCCUUUAAUGUUUGAUGUUCUAACGUUGGCCCCUGACCGGGGUUGCGGACAGUGUCUGGUGGGUAGUUUGACUGGGGCGGUCUCCUCCCAAAGCGUAACGGAGGAGCACGAAGGUUAGCUAAUCUGGUCGGACAUCAGGAGGUUAGUGCAAUGGCAUAAGCUAGCUUGACUGCGAGCGUGACGGCGCGAGCAGGUGCGAAAGCAGGUCAUAGUGAUCCGGUGGUUCUGAAUGGAAGGGCCAUCGCUCAACGGAUAAAAGGUACUCCGGGGAUAACAGGCUGAUACCGCCCAAGAGUUCAUAUCGACGGCGGUGUUUGGCACCUCGAUGUCGGCUCAUCACAUCCUGGGGCUGAAGUAGGUCCCCAAGGGUAUGGCUGUUCGCCAUUUAAAGUGGUACGCGAGCUGGGUUUAGAACGUCGUGAGACAGUUCGGUCCCUAUCUGCCGUGGGCGCUGGAGAAUUGAGGGGGGCUGCUCCUAGUACGAGAGGACCGGAGUGGACGCAUCACUGGUGUUCGGGUUGUCAUGCCAAUGGCACUGCCCGGUAGCUAAAUGCGGAAGAGAUAAGUGCUGAAAGCAUCUAAGCACGAAACUUGCCCCGAGAUGAGUUCUCCCUGAGACUUUAAGUCUCCUGAAGGAACGUUGAAGACGACGACGUUGAUAGGCCGGGUGUGUAAGCGCAGCGAUGCGUUGAGCUAACCGGUACUAAUGAACCGUGAGGCUUAACCUUACAACGCCGAAG
RNAcentral lists this ribosomal RNA (2928 nucleotides) under Klebsiella pneumoniae. Its description in RNAcentral is "23S ribosomal RNA". It matches the Rfam family "Bacterial large subunit ribosomal RNA". Lineage: Bacteria; Pseudomonadati; Pseudomonadota; Gammaproteobacteria; Enterobacterales; Enterobacteriaceae. The record is from RNAcentral.